AUUGAACGCUGGCGGCAGGCCUAACACAUGCAAGUCGAGCGGAUGAAGGGAGCUUGCUCCUGGAUUCAGCGGCGGACGGGUGAGUAAUGCCUAGGAAUGUGCCUGGUAGUGGGGGAUAACGUCCGGAAACGGGCGCUAAUACCGCAUACGUCCUGAGGGAGAAAGUGGGGGAUCUUCGGACCUCACGCUAUCAGAUGAGCCUAGGUCGGAUUAGCUAGUUGGUGGGGUAAAGGCCUACCAAGACGACGAUCCGUAACUGGUCUGAGAGGAUGAUCAGUCACACUGGAACUGAGACGCGGUCCAGACUCCUACGGGAGGCAGCAGUGGGGAAUAUUGGACAAUGGGCGAAAGCCUGAUCCAACCAUGCCGCGUGUGUGAAGAAGGUCUUCGGAUUGUAAAGCACUUUAAGUUGGGAGGAAGGGCAGUAAGUUAAUACCUUGCUGUUUUGCCGUUACCAACAGAAUAAGCACCGGCUAACUUCGUG
Molecule: ribosomal RNA, 484 nt
Filed under: uncultured bacterium
Lineage: Bacteria
Description: partial 16S ribosomal RNA
Rfam family: Bacterial small subunit ribosomal RNA
Source: RNAcentral